Non-coding RNA from Deltaproteobacteria bacterium RBG_16_49_23, 152 nucleotides. Lineage: Bacteria; Deltaproteobacteria. The record is from Rfam.
GGGAGGGCGACCGACCGUCUGCAGGAAGCCGGAGCGCAAACGUGCGAGCCGACGGACAGAAACCGCAUACAAGGCUUAGCCCCUGGGCGAGUUGGCACAACACAACAAAGCCCGCAGGUUCAGGGGGCAGGAAUGUCAAGAAAAAAAACACU